GAGGAGGCCCGAGGGAGUCCUGAGCAGAAAGCAUUUCUGGACGGCAGUGCUGUGGAGAGGGGAGGAGGCAGGACCUGGCACUGGGGAAGCCUACGACGGCAGGUGCCCUGAGGAUGAAGACUGGAUGGAGACGUUGCAGGGAUGGGAGCCCAAAAUUGCGGCAUUUCACAGAUUCAUGAGCAUAAGAUGCUAAAUUCACUCGCACGGUAUAUCCAAACUGAACUGUACAUGCCAAGAUACUGAAACCCCCUCCAAGUGGAAACAGUUAACUGUGUGCUGCCCACAAGCACUAGACCGCAAAUGCUUUGGGACAAGAAGGUUGAUGAUGCUGACUCCUCCGAGUUACCUCCCCACCAACCAAUCAGAAGAAUUUCCAUGAGCCGAUCAUACCCUCCUCUUUGCACCAUUACUAUAAAACUCCUCACUACCACCUCCAGGUUGAGACACAGUUUUGAGGGCAUCAGCCCACUGUAGUCCCCUUCGCUUGGCAAAGCAAUGAAGCUAUC
Long non-coding RNA from Cervus elaphus (red deer), 506 nucleotides. RefSeq lists it as uncharacterized. The record is from RefSeq and is a predicted model, not a curated record. The transcript has 3 exons. Lineage: Eukaryota; Metazoa; Chordata; Mammalia; Artiodactyla; Cervidae.